This 937-nucleotide long non-coding RNA is filed under the name Macaca fascicularis (crab-eating macaque). RNAcentral describes it as "lncRNA (ENSMFAG00000063571.1)". Lineage: Eukaryota; Metazoa; Chordata; Mammalia; Primates; Cercopithecidae. The record is from RNAcentral.
UCUGUGUGAUACAUAGCUGUGCACCUUAUUUUUUCUGGGGCUUUUGACUUAUUUCAGGUGUCUGAUUAAUCUUCGCAGAAGUGAUGAUGAUGACGAUGAGCAUGAUGAUGACAAUGGCCUUGAUGGUGAUGCUGCCAAUCUUUUCUGCAUAGCCCUCUGAGAGAUCAGACUGUUGUCUAAGGUACAUGGCACAACAACAUGCUUGAAAUGCUUCAUGGUUUGCACGGCUCCUGACUACCACAGCUGCCUGUGUCCUUUGACAGCCCAGCACAAUGAAACAACAGUGAAGCAUCUGUUCCCGUGAACUUGUAAAUACCAAGUUGCAGGACAAAUGUUGACAGGCAGGACAGAAGGUGAAAUGGAAACAAAAGCGUCUUGCUGAGGGAUCCUGCGGUGCCUGUCCAGCCUUUCCAGCCGCCGAAUCACUGGACAUGCUCGAGGACACUCACUUAUUAGGCUCUCCAGGACCCUCUGAGUGAGGACAAAGAAACAUGCGCUUCAUUUUACAUUAGAAAAAUGGUGAGAGUUCAACUGAUCCAUAAGGUCUUAUAAAAAACAAUAAAUAAAGGUGCUGUGAAAGCAGCAUACAAGCCGGAGAGCCUACUGGAAGCAAGAGGGGAAAAUCCAGUCAGGUAUGGGGACUGCAGGGAGGAUGCCCGGCGGCGGAGACUGGAUUCAGGAUUUGAUGCCUGAACUGAACCUUCUGUUAAGAGUAUUUUACCAAUAUAUACAGAAAAGGGGGAGGAAGAGGAUCAAAACUCUUACAAUUUCAUAUGCCAUAUUUCUGCUCUAGUUUCUAACUUCCUAUCCUCUUAAUCUUAAUUACUCUAAUCCAUAACCACGUAUUGCAUCAGCCUUGCCAGAAUCUCUUCCCACAACUUCACGUGCAUAUCGUCCUCUUUGGCAAAUACACAGCAUGUCAUUUUCUGGAUGAGUA